RNAcentral lists this ribosomal RNA (748 nucleotides) under uncultured cyanobacterium. RNAcentral describes it as "bacterial SSU rRNA". It matches the Rfam family "Bacterial small subunit ribosomal RNA", at positions 8 to 796 of the family's 1533-position model. Lineage: Bacteria; Bacillati; Cyanobacteriota. The record is from RNAcentral.
AGAGUUUGAUCCUGGCUCAGGAUGAACGCUGGCGGUCUGCUUAACACAUGCAAGUCGAACGAAUCUCUUCGGGGAUUAGUGGCGGACGGGUGAGUAACGCGUGAGAAUCUACCAAAAGGACUGGGACAACCACUGGAAACGGUGGCUAAUACCGGAUGAGCCGCAACGUAAAAGAGGAAACUCGCCUUUUGAAGAGCUCGCGUCUGAUUAGCUAGUUGGUGAGGUAAAGGCUCACCAAGGCGGCGAUCAGUAGCUGGUCUGAGAGGAUGAUCAGCCACACUGGGACUGAGACACGGCCCAGACUCCUACGGGAGGCAGCAGUGGGGAAUUUUCCGCAAUGGGCGAAAGCCUGACGGAGCAAGACCGCGUGAGGGAGGAAGGCUCUUGGGUUGUAAACCUCUUUUGUCAGGGAAGAACACAAUGACGGUACCUGAAGAAUCAGCAUCGGCUAACUCCGUGCCAGCAGCCGCGGUAAUACGGAGGAUGCAAGCGUUAUCCGGAAUUAUUGGGCGUAAAGCGUCCGCAGGUGGCACUUCAAGUCUGCUGUCAAAGACCGGGGCUUAACCCUGGAAAGGCAGUGGAAACUGAAGCGCUAGAGUGUGGCAGGGGUAGAGGGAAUUCCCGGUGUAGCGGUGAAAUGCGUAGAGAUCGGGAAGAACAUCGGUGGCGAAAGCGCUCUACUGGGCCACAACUGACACUCAGGGACGAAAGCUAGGGGAGCGAAUGGGAUUAGAUACCCCCGUAGUCC